AGGUGGGAGGCUUUGAAGUGUGGACGCCAGUCUGCAUGGAGCCGACCUUGAAAUACCACCCUUUAAUGUUUGAUGUUCUAACGUGGACCCGUAAUCCGGGUUGCGGACAGUGUCUGGUGGGUAGUUUGACUGGGGCGGUCUCCUCCUAAAGAGUAACGGAGGAGCACGAAGGUUGGCUAAUCCUGGUCGGACAUCAGGAGGUUAGUGCAAUGGCAUAAGCCAGCUUGACUGCGAGCGUGACGGCGCGAGCAGGUGCGAAAGCAGGUCAUAGUGAUCCGGUGGUUCUGAAUGGAAGGGCCAUCGCUCAACGGAUAAAAGGUACUCCGGGGAUAACAGGCUGAUACCGCCCAAGAGUUCAUAUCGACGGCGGUGUUUGGCACCUCGAUGUCGGCUCAUCACAUCCUGGGGCUGAAGUAGGUCCCAAGGGUAUGGCUGUUCGCCAUUUAAAGUGGUACGCGAGCUGGGUUUAGAACGUCGUGAGACAGUUCGGUCCCUA
RNAcentral lists this ribosomal RNA (496 nucleotides) under Escherichia coli. RNAcentral describes it as "partial 23S ribosomal RNA". It matches the Rfam family "Bacterial large subunit ribosomal RNA", at positions 2145 to 2640 of the family's 2925-position model. Lineage: Bacteria; Pseudomonadati; Pseudomonadota; Gammaproteobacteria; Enterobacterales; Enterobacteriaceae. The record is from RNAcentral.